RNAcentral lists this ribosomal RNA (253 nucleotides) under uncultured bacterium. RNAcentral's name for it is "partial 16S ribosomal RNA". It matches the Rfam family "Bacterial small subunit ribosomal RNA", at positions 524 to 776 of the family's 1533-position model. The record is from RNAcentral.
UACGUAGGGUGCAAGCGUUGUCCGGAAUUAUUGGGCGUAAAGGCUCGUAGGCGGUCCAUCACGUCGGGAGUGAAAAGCUGGGGCUUAACCCCAGUCCUGCUUCCGAUACGGGUGGACUAGAGGUAGGUAGGGGAGAACGGAAUUCCUGGUGUAGCGGUGAAAUGACGCAGAUAUCAGGAGGAACACCGGUGGCGAAGGCAGGUCUCUGGGCAUUAACUGACGCUGAGGAGCGAAAGCAUGGGGAGCGAACAGG